RNAcentral lists this long non-coding RNA (823 nucleotides) under Triticum aestivum (bread wheat). RNAcentral describes it as "long non-coding RNA (TAES_LNC008268)". Lineage: Eukaryota; Viridiplantae; Streptophyta; Magnoliopsida; Poales; Poaceae. The record is from RNAcentral.
UCUCGCUCUACCUGAUGGUGUUGUAUGGUCUGUCGGACAAGGGAACCCGGUUGCUGGCUGAUGUCAAACGCCUUCUCCCUGAGAUCAUGAUCCCCAGGUGUGUGGUGACCUUACCUGAGUACUUGGUUUUUCUGGUUCAGAACAUGUGUGCUCAAUCUAAGUGCUCAAAUGUGAGGUUGCAAGUAGAUGCUUGUUCUUUUUUUCUCCAUAGAAACUCUCGGAAUGGAUGAAUGCAUAGUAUUUCUGAGCUUUCUAAACUCUAGGAACCACUGAAAAUUUUGGCAUUGCAAGACAAAUAUAGUGUUGUGUUUAUGCAUCCUCAUUUGGCAAGAGUUCAUAUAUUACUUACUAUUUGUCUCUGUAUGACAGUACUCGCAUUAGUUGAUGCAGAAUAUGUCUAUGUUUUAUCAACGAGUUAUAAUAAGAUUUCACACUCCUGUAGACUAAAUCAACACCACUUGGUGGGAUCUGACUCUGGUGGGAUGGAACAUGGAAAGCUAUUGGCCGCUUGCAGUCUCACAAUCUGUCAGACGCACAAGUGGAGUUUUGUUUGGCAAUGCUUUUCUAUUGAGCAUAUUAAGAUUGCCAUUUGUCUAUAUUUUUUAUUAAGAAAUGACGAAUCAUUUAGUACGAAUUUGUAACUGGUUCAAGUACAUGACUGUCAAUAUACGGUGUGUUCGACAACACAUCUUCUGUCAAGUUGCUGGGAAUGUUGCCUGUGCCCCGUGGCACUGUCACAAUAUUGGAUUCAUGCAUUUGAUGCCCUCUUGGAUCCAGGUUUGAAUAAAACCAAAUGUGUUCCUUUAAAUUGCGUAGUUGCCUG